RNAcentral lists this ribosomal RNA (489 nucleotides) under uncultured bacterium. RNAcentral's name for it is "partial 16S ribosomal RNA". It matches the Rfam family "Bacterial small subunit ribosomal RNA", at positions 30 to 507 of the family's 1533-position model. The record is from RNAcentral.
AUUGAACGCUGGCGGCAGGCCUAACACAUGCAAGUCGAACGGUAACAGGAAACAGCUUGCUGUUUCGCUGACGAGUGGCGGACGGGUGAGUAAUGUCUGGGAAACUGCCUGAUGGAGGGGGAUAACUACUGGAAACGGUAGCUAAUACCGCAUAACGUCGCAAGACCAAAGAGGGGGACCCUCGGGCCUCUUGCCAUCGGAUGUGCCCAGAUGGGAUUAGCUUGUUGGUGGGUAACGGCUCACCAAGGCGACGAUCCCUAGCUGGUCUGAGAGGAUGACCAGCCACACUGGAACUGAGACACGGUCCAGACUCCUACGGGAGGCAGCAGUGGGGAAUAUUGCACAAUGGGCGCAAGCCUGAUGCAGCCAUGCCGCGUGUAUGAAGAAGGCCUUCGGGUUGUAAAGUACUUUCAGCGGGGAGGAAGGGAGUAAAGUUAAUACCUUUGCUCAUUGACGUUACCCGCAGAAGAAGCACCGGCUAACUCCGUG